GACUGCGGAGGACAUUA
This 17-nucleotide ribosomal RNA is filed under the name Aspergillus proliferans. RNAcentral's name for it is "partial 18S ribosomal RNA". RNAcentral also lists the same sequence under 1 other name. The record is from RNAcentral. Lineage: Eukaryota; Fungi; Ascomycota; Eurotiomycetes; Eurotiales; Aspergillaceae.